AUGUUCCCUGAGCCACACUCUGUGGGCAUUACCGAGACAGGUCCCUCCAUCUACCAGCGCCGACGGCUGAAAAGCACAGAGGAUACCAGAAAAACAGCCUUUCCUUCAUUUCCCAAAUACUAUGUUGAUGCCCUUCCUUAGAAGUCUUCCUCUUAAUUAAGUUGGCCCGAAGGUCAUAAACCGUAAUCAAUAUGGAGGCUGGUCGCUGCAAGGUGCUAAUUGACAUCCCCAAAGAGGAACCGUGUCAACAAUCGAUACAGAAGAACAGAGUACUGCUAGAUUUAUGGCUUUGAUUUUGAAAAGGUAUGGGAAUGCCCUGUGAUGUUCCCCCCCCCCCCCCCGUACUCCUUUUGAAUGUUAAUGCUUUCUUGAAGAUGAUUUCAGACACACUGCUAGGAUACUGCCUCUACUCACUGAAGCAGAAUCCUCUGAAGAGUUGCUGAGGCAGAACUGAAAUCAUGGCUCGCCACAAAGAAGCAGCCGUAUUGGCCGCUAAUGAUGCCUCACACAGAAAGGCGAUGCUCCUUUAACUCGGGGGUUUUAAUGGGAAGUUUCUAAGCCUGAAACAACAGCUUUAGAUCUGGGGUGUGCCAUCAGCUGCUAGCAGCUACCACUGUCUACUGCUUCAACACAGCUUGAUCGGGAAGAAUGGGAACUAAAGAGGCUUGUAACUACCUGUAACUGUUCCACCAGGAAAUGGAUCAAGUGUUUGUUCAGCCAGACCCAGGUACUUGACCAACACUGUGUCUUUGAUGGGCUAAUUAAUGCUUUUCUCUAACUUUACGAUUCAUGCAUGAGCAAUGAUCACAUAGAUGCUUUUGGAUCCAAGUUCUGAAUUUAGAUCUAGAUGUCAGAUAAAGUCUAAUUAAACAGUUGCCGGGUAAAGUUAAUACGAGGGGGGUGAAAUGUAAUGGUGCCUUUAUUUUUAAAGCAUGCUUAAGUUUAUGCUACUGAUACUGGAUAAAAGAGUAGUAAAAUAGGCUCUUUUCUUUGCUAAGCUGCAGUAAAUUAUUCUCGAAAGCUAUUUGUCCAUUAUAGUAUUUUUUUUUCCAUUCACCUAAAACGUCCAACCUCCCAAAAUGUAACAGGGAUGUUUUAAUUUGUUCACAAAGAAUCACAACUCAACAACUCAUAAUGAUGA
Molecule: long non-coding RNA, 1141 nt
Filed under: Felis catus (domestic cat)
Lineage: Eukaryota; Metazoa; Chordata; Mammalia; Carnivora; Felidae
Description: lncRNA (ENSFCAG00000048013.1)
Source: RNAcentral